Molecule: RNA transcript, 2090 nt
Organism: Helianthus annuus (common sunflower)
Lineage: Eukaryota; Viridiplantae; Streptophyta; Magnoliopsida; Asterales; Asteraceae
Gene name: putative lipase C4A8.10
Exons: 10
Source: RefSeq, a predicted model, not a curated record
AUGAGUCCAAAAAGAUUUAUCCGUUGCCAUUUCAGUCCACUGAGUUAACUUCAUCUUUUUUUUUUUUCUGUUAACAAGAAGGGUAAUUUGGUCUUUUUAUAUGUAAAUCUGUUAACUAGAAUGGGAAUUCAACCAUAUAAAAUGACCGAAUUGCCUUUCUCGUUAAUAGAAAAAGUGGAUGAAGUUAAUCCAGUGGAUGAAAAUGACAACGAUGAAACCUUUUUAAACCCACAGAUAAAAAAUAAAAUCUUUAGACUAAACUAACAAACGCAAACAACAUCUACUAAAAUGACAUUUUACUCUAAUAAUAAUUUAGUCUUAAUAAUUGAAGACGUCAAACUCACCUCCCCCCUGAGUCUUACGCCGGCGCCAAUAUUCCGACACAUUUCCAUUACUACCCUCACCUGGAGGCCUACAAACUCCACAAUCACUACCCAAAAUGGUAAUUUCACUUCCACUAGUCAAAUUUCACCAGCUUCCGUACACUCCGCCCUAAUUAACCGUCACAAAUACUCUCAGUGACUACAAAUCUCAUUGCGUAUUUGCAUUCAUUCGGAGCUCAAAUUCACUGAAAUCAAUGGAGAUUCAGAACAAUCUGGAACAAAAUGCUGCUGUAAAAGGAUCAGAUGCUGAAAUUAGUGAUGUUGCGAAGAAGAAGAAGACGAAGAGGGUUAGUAAUUCGUUUGUUGUGAAGAGAUUGAGCUGUUUUAGGUCAUCGGAUUACGGUUAUCCGACGGUUGAAGAAGUGGAUGCUGACGGUAACGUUGAUAUGGAGUCGGAUGUUGCUGGUAAACGGCAGACGCACCUUGUUGUUAUGGUCAAUGGCUUGAUCGGAAGUGCUAAAAAUUGGAGAUUUGCUGCAAAACAGUUUUUAAAGAGGUAUCCAAAAGAUCUUGUUGUUCAUUGCAGCAAAUGUAACUCUGCGUUAGCGACACUUGACGGUGUGGACGUGAUGGGAACCAGAUUAGCGGAUGAGGUGAUAUCUGUGAUACAACGGCACCCAAAUCUUGACAAGAUUUCUUUCAUAGGUCACUCACUUGGUGGCCUAAUAGCAAGAUAUGCAGUUGCUAAACUCUACACACAAGAUUGCAGAAAUCAGUUAUCUCAAAGUAAUGGAAAUUAUAGAUCUGAGGAAAAAUCAAUUACACAAGUCAAUUUAAGCUCGGACUGUAUCUCUAAUGGAAAAAUUGGUGGAUUGGAGCCUGUCAACUUUAUUACUAUUGCCACUCCACAUCUUGGCUCAAGAGGUCAUAGACAGGUCCCUAUGUUCUGUGGAAUUAGAAGCCUUGAGAGACUAGGGUACCACACAUGUGGGGUACUUAAAAGAACCGGGAGACAUGUAUAUUUGAAAGAUAAGUUAGACGGACAACCCCCUUUGUUGGUUCAGAUGGCCAAUGAUACCGAAGACCUAAAGUUCAUAUCUGCUUUACAGUCCUUCAAGCGCCGCGUUGUUUAUGCAAAUGUUCUUUCUGACCAUCUUGUGGGAUGGAGCACGUCAUCGAUUCGUUCUCGAAGUGAGCUACCUAAGCGUAAGAAUCUCGUAAGAAGUGGUAGAUAUCCCCAUAUUCUGAAGGAAGGUGCAGUAAAUAUAGCAAAACAAGAAGGUUCGGUGGACCCACAAGCCAAUAAUCACAAGACUAGAACAGCUACCAUGGAAGUGCAGAGACAAUGCUUAGAGGGUUGAGUCAGCUGUGCUGGGAACGGGUUGACGUCAGCUUUAAAGGAAGUAAACAGAGAUACCUUGCGCACAAUACGAUCCAGGUAAAUACUCCCUGGAUGAAUUCUGACGGUGCUGACGUCAUACAACACAUGGUUGACAAUUUCUUGGUGUAGAUUAAAGACAUGAACAGCUCGCUGUGCAGACCGAUUGUAAGUGCAUUUACUCAACUAUCUGUCUUGUAUACAACAUCUGUCCGAUUUUGGAAACUUAAUUAUUGUUGUAUAAUUAUGUAUAAAUCUGCCCAUAUGGCUGGAAGAUUAUAUAAGUAGAUACGUGUAGAUGUCGUUAAAAAAAAGAGAUACUUGUAGAUGUUGUAAGGAUCUAUAAUAGCAUCGAUUUUGAAGUUAUACCUAGAGAAAUUUUAGAAACA